CCUACGGGAGGCAGCAGUGGGGAAUCUUGCGCAAUGGGCGAAAGCCUGACGCAGCCAUGCCGCGUGAAUGAUGAAGGUCUUAGGAUUGUAAAAUUCUUUCACCGGGGACGAUAAUGACGGUACCCGGAGAAGAAGCCCCGGCUAACUUCGUGCCAGCAGCCGCGGUAAUACGAAGGGGGCUAGCGUUGCUCGGAAUUACUGGGCGUAAAGGGAGCGUAGGCGGAUAGUUUAGUCAGAGGUGAAAGCCCAGGGCUCAACCCUGGAAUUGCCUUUGAUACUGGCUAUCUUGAGUGUGGGAGAGGUAUGUGGAACUCCGAGUGUAGAGGUGAAAUUCGUAGAUAUUCGGAAGAACACCAGUGGCGAAGGCGACAUACUGGCCCAUUACUGACGCUGAGGCUCGAAAGCGUGGGGAGCAAACAGGAUUAGAUACCCUGGUAGUCCACGCUGUAAACGAUGAGUGCUAGUUGUCGGCAUGCAUGCAUGUCGGUGACGCAGCUAACGACAUUAAGACACUCCGCCGUCGGGGAGGUACGGUCGGCGAAGAAGUUAAAACUAACAAAGAAAGUUAGACGGCGUGAGACGUGCCGAACGGACGACGACGAGGGAGGAGG
Molecule: ribosomal RNA, 611 nt
Filed under: uncultured bacterium
Lineage: Bacteria
Description: bacterial SSU rRNA
Rfam family: Bacterial small subunit ribosomal RNA (bases 1-519)
Source: RNAcentral